Salvia hispanica is the source of this 353-nucleotide long non-coding RNA. RefSeq lists it as uncharacterized. Lineage: Eukaryota; Viridiplantae; Streptophyta; Magnoliopsida; Lamiales; Lamiaceae. The record is from RefSeq and is a predicted model, not a curated record.
AUCCCAAAUCAUAGAGACGAGUCUGCCAAGUCCAAGGAAACUACUCCUCUCAGUCUCACAAUUUCACAAUUCAAUAUCGUGUUUUGAGGUUAUCUCCGCAAGUUAAGGUCGGAGCGAGAAAUUCAAGUUAAGGAAAUUAAACGAACGAGGUUGAGCAGUGACGGUGGAGAAUGCUGAGCAAAGUUGAUGAUUUCCUUUUUUUAGUAGAGGCUCUCGGUGGUGCAUGUCUCCAUACAUGACUGCAUUCCUUCCGCUGCUUAUUGUUCUUCUAUACUCUGAUAAAUAAUUAUUGAAUAGUAAGAUUUUCAUUCAAGUUCUUGUGAAAAAUUUAAUUUGAAAUUGUUUCCCCUUUA